RNAcentral lists this ribosomal RNA (692 nucleotides) under uncultured organism. Its description in RNAcentral is "bacterial SSU rRNA". It matches the Rfam family "Bacterial small subunit ribosomal RNA", at positions 768 to 1464 of the family's 1533-position model. The record is from RNAcentral.
GCAAACAGGAUUAGAUACCCUGGUAGUCCACGCCGUAAACGAUGGAUACUAGGUGUAGGGGGUAUCGACCCCUUCUGUGCCGGAGUUAACACAAUAAGUAUCCCACCUGGGGAGUACGAUCGCAAGAUUGAAACUCAAAGGAAUUGACGGGGGCCCGCACAAGCAGUGGAGUAUGUGGUUUAAUUCGAAGCAACGCGAAGAACCUUACCAGGGCUUGACAUCCUGCGACGACACUAGAGAUAGUGUUUUCCUACGGGACGCAGAGACAGGUGGUGCAUGGUUGUCGUCAGCUCGUGUCGUGAGAUGUUGGGUUAAGUCCCGCAACGAGCGCAACCCCUGUUGUUAGUUGCCAUCAGGUAAAGCUGGGCACUCUAACGAGACUGCCGGUGACAAAUCGGAGGAAGGUGGGGAUGACGUCAAAUCAUCAUGCCCCUUAUGUCCUGGGCUACACACGUACUACAAUGGCUGCUACAGAGGGCAGCGAAGCCGCGAGGUGGAGCAAAUCCCUAAAGGCAGCCCCAGUUCGGAUUGCAGGCUGAAACUCGCCUGCAUGAAGUCGGAAUUGCUAGUAAUGGCAGGUCAGCAUACUGCCGUGAAUACGUUCCCGGGCAUUGUACACACCGCCCGUCACACCAUGAGAGUUUGCAACACCCGAAGUCAGUAGUCUACUUAUAGAGACGCUGCCGAAGGUG